RNAcentral lists this transfer RNA (64 nucleotides) under Japanagallia curvipenis. RNAcentral describes it as "tRNA-Tyr". The record is from RNAcentral. Lineage: Eukaryota; Metazoa; Arthropoda; Insecta; Hemiptera; Cicadellidae.
AUUAAGGUGUCUGAAUAAAAGAGAUAAACUGUAAAUUUAUUUAUGAAUUAAAAUUCCCUUAAUA